Molecule: non-coding RNA, 452 nt
Organism: Triticum aestivum (bread wheat)
Lineage: Eukaryota; Viridiplantae; Streptophyta; Magnoliopsida; Poales; Poaceae
Source: Rfam
AAAUGAAUGAGGCGCACAUGCACCACAAAAAUGAACGUUGACCAUAAAUUAGACCAACCAAAUGUGGGAUAUACGUAAUAAAAAUUGUAUAAUUGUAUUGGUAUUCGGUGCAUGGCUGUCGUCAGCUCGUGCCGUAAGGUGUUGGGUUAAGUCUCGCAACGAGCGCAACCCUCGUGUUUAGUUGCCACUAUGAGUUUGGAACCCUGAACAGACCGCCGGUGUUAAGCCGGAGGAAGGAGAAGGUGAGGCCAAGUCAUCAUGCCCCUUAUGUCCUGGGCGACAAACGUGCUACAAUGGGUGGGACAAAGGGUCGCGAUCUCGCGAGGGUGAGCUAACUCCAAAAACCAGUCCUCUGUUCGGAUUGCAGGCUGCAACUCGCCUGCAUGAAGCAGGAAUCGCUAGUAAUUGCCGGUCAGCCAUACGGCAGUGAAUCUGUUCCCGGGCCUUGUACA